This 980-nucleotide long non-coding RNA is filed under the name Chrysemys picta bellii (western painted turtle). RNAcentral describes it as "lncRNA (ENSCPBG00000005513.1)". Lineage: Eukaryota; Metazoa; Chordata; Testudines; Emydidae. The record is from RNAcentral.
GGCACUCUGUUGAUUUCUGACCUUGAAUUUAGUUUAGAGUCCUUGCCAGGAAUAGAUUUCAGCUCCAAUUUCAACCGCUAAGUACAAGUGCCUUCCCCUGUCAUGAUUCCUAAACAGAAGUGUCUGAGUCUUCAAAAGCAAACAGAUGCAGCGGCGGCAUCAGCACUAGGAGGUCUAAUGGUGCUGGCACUGCUGUAGAAAGCUGUAUGGUGCUGACACAGAUGACAGUGAGACUGAUCCUUAUGGACUAUAGAGUGAUAAGGGGCCUCACUCACCCCAGUCCACCGUGACAUGCCAGCUGUUCAAUAUAGUCUAGAUCAGGGGUAGGCAACCUUUCAGAAGUGGUGUGCCGAGUCUUCAUUUAUUCACUCUAAUUUAAGGUUUCGCGUGCCAAUAAUACCUUUUAACGUUUUUAGAAGGUCUCUUUCUAUAAGUCUAUAAUAUAUAACUAAACUAUUGUUGUAUGUAAAGUAAAUAAGGUUUUAAAAUGUUUAAGAAGCUUCAUUUAAAAUUAAAUUAAAAUGCAGAGCUCCCCAGAUCAGUGGCCAGGACCCGGACAGUGUGAGUGCCACUGAAAAUCAGCUCAUGUGCCGCCUUCGGCACGCGUGCCAUAGGUUGCCUACCCCUGGUCUAGAGCUAGAUUCUGGGUGGAAGACAGUGGGACUACGCUUCUUCCCAUUAUCAGCUGGGAUGUAAUUAAACGUUUCUGUUCCUGUACCUGGUGGUAUGUUUUUAACAGUGUAAGUGAGAGGUUUUCCCUAGCUCUAGCUGCCAGUUUUCAUAGCCCAAAGAAACCUCUGGUUCUGUUUCUUUUCAGACACCCUGAAACCUUCAGCAGAAGUGAAAUGUGUUUCCUGAACCAAGGUGAAGAGCCCCCUAUUCUAAUCAGAGAGGCAGUAUGUUGUGGCCAGUUGCCAAACAGCCAGGGCUCUGGACAUGAUGGAAACUUGAGAAGAAGCAUUGCACAUCUGCACCUUUAG